GAACUCACUAAAAUAACCAGAGGACUUCACAGAAGGGGGAAGAUGCCUCUUCCUUCAGCGACCACAAGGCCCCCAUUAUUGCAUCUGUUGGAGUAGAUCCUUCCUGAUAUGAAAGGGCCAGCUGUUCUUGCCUCCAUGCCUAUAGCAUCUAAAAGAGCAGAACUCCCAGGAAGUACACAAGAUCGAUCCCACCUCCAUUCAGAUGAAAAGACAGAGCACCUACCGGC
This 227-nucleotide long non-coding RNA is filed under the name Mus musculus (house mouse). RNAcentral's name for it is "predicted gene, 47499". Lineage: Eukaryota; Metazoa; Chordata; Mammalia; Rodentia; Muridae. The record is from RNAcentral.